RNAcentral lists this ribosomal RNA (253 nucleotides) under Salmonella enterica. RNAcentral's name for it is "partial 16S ribosomal RNA". It matches the Rfam family "Bacterial small subunit ribosomal RNA", at positions 1 to 250 of the family's 1533-position model. Lineage: Bacteria; Pseudomonadati; Pseudomonadota; Gammaproteobacteria; Enterobacterales; Enterobacteriaceae. RNAcentral also lists the same sequence under 3 other names. The record is from RNAcentral.
AAAUUGAAGAGUUUGAUCAUGGCUCAGAUUGAACGCUGGCGGCAGGCCUAACACAUGCAAGUCGAACGGUAACAGGAAGCAGCUUGCUGCUUUGCUGACGAGUGGCGGACGGGUGAGUAAUGUCUGGGAAACUGCCUGAUGGAGGGGGAUAACUACUGGAAACGGUGGCUAAUACCGCAUAACGUCGCAAGACCAAAGAGGGGGACCUUCGGGCCUCUUGCCAUCAGAUGUGCCCAGAUGGGAUUAGCUUGUU